RNAcentral lists this long non-coding RNA (1182 nucleotides) under Chrysemys picta bellii (western painted turtle). Its description in RNAcentral is "lncRNA (ENSCPBG00000026654.1)". The record is from RNAcentral. Lineage: Eukaryota; Metazoa; Chordata; Testudines; Emydidae.
CAUUUACAAGUAAAAUAUAUCUGUACAUCAAUAAACCUCAUUCUUAUUACUUUCACCCCACAGAUAUCCAAAGGCAGUGAUCAUUCGCAAUGUGGCCUGCAAAGUUUCAGCGAAGAAAGAAAGCUACUCUUGAUGUGCUCAAUAAGAUACAAAAGCACAUCGGCAAAUGUAACUUGCCCAGCUGCUCAGCUACUGAAAACUUCCAGUGGGCGAGUCUGAGGGUCACAUUCCCCUUCCUAUUACAGCAAGUGGAGAGUAACCACACCCAGCAGAAUUUGCUUUUGUAGUUUAGAAGCAGGGUAAUCCUAUCGCCAUGUCCUAUGGAUUCCUCUCUGAAAUCCCACAGCAACGCAGGUGAAUGAUUUCCAUUGGCGUUUGGGAGCUGGUAUAGGAUUAGGAUGGGAUGGAUUUUGACUGCAGUGUGCAUCAUUACAUUAAAAUCCCUGAGGAUAUCUGACCAAGAACAUGAUAAUGACAAAUACUCUUCUGCCGGUAGGGAAGAGAAGUCAUUGGGGCAGUGUGGAUUAUCAAGAGAUGCAUGGACCCCAUAAGAUGUAUGGGGGGUGGUGGUGGGGGGGGUAAGGCCAGAGAUCCCUAAAUCCCCUGCCUCAACUAUCAUCUUUUAACGGCCACUUCUCUAAGGAGACCAUGUGGAGGAAACUCCGGAGUCAAUCUCAAAAUUUCUAGGGCCCUCUGUAUCCUUUCCUCUAGAACUUUCCGGAGGAAGUUACAAAAUGGCCCUUUAUCCCCCACAACCUUACAAGCACAUGAGUUAUUUCUGAAAUCUGUCUAUUUUGGGGUAUCACUAGUGAAGACUAAGUCCCUGCAGUUUCCUUUGGCAAUGUAAUUCUCUACUGAAAAAGCAUACACACCACAAACAUGCCCCGUUUGACAAUAGGACAGAUUCAAUUAAAAUAUGAGGUGUUUUUUAUUUAAAAAAAAUUACGUUAAGCCCUAGGGACUCCUUCAUUGGAUGGAAUGGAGAAAAGAUGGUAGCUUUGAGCAAGUCCCAACAAUUGCUGCUUCUGAAGAUUUAUUCUUGACUGAAUAUUUAAGAACUCCAAGAAGGUUUUGUAGCUUCCAAGAGUCAAGCUGUGGACUUGUGAAGAUCUCUGUUUAAGCUCAAAAGCUUGUCUCUUUCACCAAAAGAAGUUGGUCCAAUAAAAAAUGUUACUUGACCCA